Acinonyx jubatus (cheetah) is the source of this 377-nucleotide long non-coding RNA. RefSeq lists it as uncharacterized. NCBI's taxonomy places the organism in Eukaryota, Metazoa, Chordata, Mammalia, Carnivora, Felidae. The record is from RefSeq and is a predicted model, not a curated record. The transcript is spliced from 2 exons.
AUGGGCAGAAGACAUGAACAGACAUUUCUCCAAAGAAGACAUCCAGAUGGUCAACAGACACAUGAAAAGAUGUUCAUCAUCACGUGCCAUCAGGAAAAUACAAAUCAAAACUACAAUGAGAUAUCACCUCACACCUGUCAGAAUGGCUAAAAUCAACAACACAGGAAACAACAGAUGUUGGUCCAUCCAUAUCAUUUACCUGCUUAAAACCCUUCAAUGGGUUUCCAGCCAUGACAGAAUAACAGGGACCAGAUUUACCCUCUGUUUAAAACAACUGAAAAAAAACACAGACAAAUAUAUGGGGAAAAAAAUGUCUUCAGACAUUGGACAUCAAGCAGUACAGAGAAGUAAACCCUGAGAGAUGGAAAACAAAUGAG